RNAcentral lists this ribosomal RNA (468 nucleotides) under uncultured bacterium. RNAcentral describes it as "partial 16S ribosomal RNA". It matches the Rfam family "Bacterial small subunit ribosomal RNA", at positions 28 to 507 of the family's 1533-position model. The record is from RNAcentral.
GACGAACGCUGGCGGCGUGCUUAACACAUGCAAGUCGAACGGAAAGGCCCUGCUUUUGUUGGGUGCUCGAGUGGCGAACGGGUGAGUAACACGUGAGUAACCUGCCCUUGACUUUGGGAUAACUUCAGGAAACUGGGGCUAAUACCGGAUAGGAGCUCCUGCUGCAUGGUGGGGGUUGGAAAGUUUCGGCGGUUGGGGAUGGACUCGCGGCUUAUCAGCUUGUUGGUGGGGUAGUGGCUUACCAAGGCUUUGACGGGUAGCCGGCCUGAGAGGGUGACCGGCCACAUUGGGACUGAGAUACGGACCAGACGCCUACGGGAGGCAGCAGUGGGGAAUAUUGCACAAUGGGCGGAAGCCUGAUGCAGCAACGCCGCGUGCGGGAUGACGGCCUUCGGGUUGUAAACCGAUUUCGCCUGUGACGAAGCGUGAGUGACGGUAAUGGGUAAAGAAGCACCGGCUAACUACGUG